UCGGAUUGAUACUAAGCCAUGCGAGUCAUUGUAGCAAUACAAGGCAGACGGCUCAGUAACGCGUAGUCAACCUAACCUAUGGACGGGAAUAACCUCGGGAAACUGAGAAUAAUGCCCGAUAGAACACUAUACCUGGAAUGGUUUGUGUUCCAAAUGAUUUAUCGCCGUAGGAUGGGACUGCGGCCUAUCAGUUUGUUGGUGAGGUAAUGGCCCACCAAGACUAUUACAGGUACGGGCUCUGAGAGGAGUAGCCCGGAGAUGGGUACUGAGACACGGACCCAGGCCCUAUGGGGCGCAGCAGGCGAGAAAACUUUGCAAUGUGCGAAAGCACGACAAGGUUAAUCCGAGUGGUUUCUGCUAAAGGAACCUUUUGUCGGUCCUAGAAACACCGAUGAAUAAGGGGUGGGCAAGUUCUGGUGUCAGCCGCCGCGGUAAAACCAGCACCUCAAGUGGUCAGGAUGAUUAUUGGGCCUAAAGCAUCCGUAGCCGGCACUAUAAGUUUUCGGUUAAAUCUGUACGCUCAACGUACAGGCUGCCGGGAAUACUGUAGCGCUAGGGAGUGGGAGAGGUAGACGGUACUCGGUAGGAAGGGGUAAAAUCCUUUGAUCUAUUGAUGACCACCUGUGGCGAAGGCGGUCUACCAGAACACGUCCGACGGUGAGGGAUGAAAGCUGGGGGAGCAAACCGGAUUAGAUACCCGGGUAGUCCCAGCUGUAAACUAUGCAAACUCAGUGAUGCAUUGGCUUGUGGCCAAUGCAGUGCUGCAGGGAAGCCGUUAAGUUUGCCGCCUGGGAAGUACGUACGCAAGUAUGAAACUUAAAGGAAUUGGCGGGGGAGCAC
Molecule: ribosomal RNA, 840 nt
Filed under: uncultured marine archaeon
Lineage: Archaea
Description: bacterial SSU rRNA
Rfam family: Archaeal small subunit ribosomal RNA
Source: RNAcentral